This 497-nucleotide ribosomal RNA is filed under the name uncultured bacterium. Its description in RNAcentral is "partial 16S ribosomal RNA". It matches the Rfam family "Bacterial small subunit ribosomal RNA", at positions 28 to 507 of the family's 1533-position model. The record is from RNAcentral.
GAUGAACGCUGGCGGCGUGCCUAAUACAUGCAAGUCGAGCGAACAGACGAGGAGCUUGCUCCUCUGACGUUAGCGGCGGACGGGUGAGUAACACGUGGAUAACCUACCUAUAAGACUGGGAUAACUUCGGGAAACCGGAGCUAAUACCGGAUAAUAUAUUGAACCGCAUGGUUCAAUAGUGAAAGACGGUUUUGCUGUCACUUAUAGAUGGAUCCGCGCCGCAUUAGCUAGUUGGUAAGGUAACGGCUUACCAAGGCGACGAUGCGUAGCCGACCUGAGAGGGUGAUCGCCCACCCUGGAACUGGGACACGGUCCAGACUCCUACGGGAGGCAGCAGUAGGGAAUCUUCCGCAAAGGGCGAAAGCCUGACGGAGCAACGCCGCGUGAGUGAUGAAGGUCUUCGGAUCGUAAAACUCUGUUAUUAGGGAAGAACAAAUGUGUAAGUAACUAUGCACGUCUUGACGGUACCUAAUCAGAAAGCCACGGCUAACUACGUG